CGGGCGGGUCCGGGCUCACGGCGGUGGGCAUCCGGCGGUGGUGGUCGCGGGCGUCUCGAGGGUUGGGGCUCGAGGAAGAGGGCACGCGGAAGAGGGGUCGGAAGGAGUGCGCAGCAGCCCGCUGGCUGCGGCGGUGGUCGCUGGUAGGUCCAAUGCGGUGGCAGGGGACGGAAGAGAGAAAGGAGAGAGAGAGAUUAGAGGAGUAGAGAGGAAGAGGGGUCCUCGAGUCGCGGUCGCGGUACCUACGGGUCAGGAGCUCGAGUGGAACCUCCAAGCUUGCGGCGGUGCCCUGGAGGUGGCCGGUCUAGGCCGCGGAGGGAGGGGCCUAAGCGCGCGGGAGGUGGAGGAGAUGGGCUAGACCGCGGGGUGGGUGGAGGGGUGGUGCGGGGCGCGCGGCGACCGGCGGAGGACGGGGUAGGGCGGAGUCACGCGCGGCGGCCCGCGGAAUACGGAGGGUUAGGGUAGAGGAGGAGUGGACGCCGAAGAAGCGGCAAGUGCCGAGGGCUUCGAGCUCGCCCGGCUAGAUGCGCAGCCACUGGAGCACCCUCCGUCUCCUACCCUACCACACGACACGAGCUCUUCUCACCCGAGCUGAUUCCCCUAACCUCCCACCGCAGCCGCCCGAGCGCCUGCCCCUACCUCUCCCGCCAACGAACGUUCUAGUUCCGACCCGUCCGGCCUUAACUAGAUUUUUUUGUCCUAGCACCGUCUAACAAUAGCGAUCGUUCCUGAGUGACUAGAGACUACACCGAGAGUUACCACUACGCUACGUUUUACCUGUUUAGGUAGUAGCAAUCAGACGACGACAACCGAAGAAGACUCGAUGAUUAUAGUCUAAUCGCGACUAAACCCCUCAUUUCGAGAAGCUCGUUCACUGUUUUUAGUUCAGAAGACUCGUAGAGUUUCUACCGCUGGACUUCAGCAAACUGACCGUCGAAUUUUCGUUAAUUUCACGUGUCUCUUUAGUUUGAAAAUUUCGGUGAGAACGGUAAACACCUGACAAGGACGAACAACCACUGACGAAAACGCUCAUACAAGUGAGAGUAGAUGAGGGA
This 1055-nucleotide ribosomal RNA is filed under the name Triticum aestivum (bread wheat). Its description in RNAcentral is "partial small subunit ribosomal RNA". The record is from RNAcentral. Lineage: Eukaryota; Viridiplantae; Streptophyta; Magnoliopsida; Poales; Poaceae.